This 501-nucleotide ribosomal RNA is filed under the name uncultured Glomeromycotina. RNAcentral's name for it is "partial small subunit ribosomal RNA". It matches the Rfam family "Eukaryotic small subunit ribosomal RNA", at positions 591 to 1092 of the family's 1831-position model. Lineage: Eukaryota; Fungi; Glomeromycota. The record is from RNAcentral.
CCAAUAGCGUAUAUUAAAGUUGUUGCAGUUAAAAAGCUCGUAGUUGAAUUUCGGGAUCAAUUUGCCGGUCGUGCCUCCGGUACGCACUGGUCUCAUUGAUUUCUCCCUUCUGACGAACCAUGAUGUCAUUAAUUUGGUGUCAUGGGGAAUCAGGACUGUUACUUUGAAAAAAUUAGAGUGUUUAAAGCAGGCACACGCUUGAAUACAUUAGCAUGGAAUAACGAAAUAGGACGUUCGACCCUAUUUUGUUGGUUUCUAGGAUCGACGUAAUGAUUAAUAGGGAUAGUUGGGGGCAUUAGUAUUCAAUUGUCAGAGGUGAAAUUCUUAGAUUUAUUGAAGACUAACUACUGCGAAAGCAUUUGCCAAGGAUGUUUUCAUUAAUCAAGAACGAAAGUUAGGGGAUCGAAGACGAUCAGAUACCGUCGUAGUCUUAACCAUAAACUAUGCCGACUAGGGAUCGGAUGAUGUUAAUUUUUUUAAUGACUCAUUCGGCGCCUUACG